AAGUCUCUCAUAUCAAUCUCUAUUAGGUCCACACUCAAUUUACUAUAUGCUAUAUUUAUGAUAUAAGCUCUGUAUAUAACCUCCCAUAAUAGUGUCAUACUCUAGGAGUAUACACAAACAAUACAUAAUUAAGUCUUUCAAAUAAUACAUUUAAGUUUGUUGCAAAAGUAUGUGAGACAAAUAAAUGUGAAGCACCAAUAUCAAUCAAAAUAUGUGCAAGUUGAUUACAGAUAAUGUACGUAUCCUGUAUCACGUCUGGGUUAUUUUCAGC
This 271-nucleotide long non-coding RNA is filed under the name Carica papaya (papaya). RNAcentral describes it as "long non-coding RNA (CPAP_LNC000549)". Lineage: Eukaryota; Viridiplantae; Streptophyta; Magnoliopsida; Brassicales; Caricaceae. The record is from RNAcentral.